GACGAACGCUGGCGGCGUGCCUAAUACAUGCAAGUCGAGCGAACAGACGAGGAGUUUGCGCCUCUGUCGUUAGCGGAGGACGGGUGAGUAACACGUGUAUAACCUACCUAUAAGACUGGGAUAACCACGGGAAACCGGAGCUAAUACCGGAUAAGAUGCUGAACCGCAUGGGUCAACGGUGAAUGACGGUCUUGCGGGCACUUAUAGAGGGAUCCGCGCCGCUUUAGCUAGUUGGUAAGUUAACGGCCUACCAAGGCAACCAUGCGUGGCCGACCUCAGAGGGUGAUAGGCCACACUGGAACUUGGACACGCUCCAUACUCCUGCGGUAGGCCGCAGUAGGCAACGUUACGCAAUAGGCGAGAGCCUGACGGAGCGAGGCCAAGUCAGUGAAGAAAAUCCUGGGAUCGUAAAACUCUGUUAUUAGGGAAGAACAGAUGUGUAAGGUGCUAUACCCGUCUUGACGGUAACUAAUCAAAAAGCACCGGCUAACUACGUG
This 497-nucleotide ribosomal RNA is filed under the name uncultured bacterium. RNAcentral's name for it is "partial 16S ribosomal RNA". It matches the Rfam family "Bacterial small subunit ribosomal RNA", at positions 28 to 507 of the family's 1533-position model. The record is from RNAcentral.